RNAcentral lists this ribosomal RNA (305 nucleotides) under uncultured bacterium. RNAcentral's name for it is "bacterial SSU rRNA". It matches the Rfam family "Bacterial small subunit ribosomal RNA", at positions 334 to 655 of the family's 1533-position model. The record is from RNAcentral.
UUUGCCUACGGGGGGCAGCAGUGGGGAAUAUUGCACAAUGGGGGAAACCCUGAUGCAGCAACGCCGCGUGAGUGAAGAAGUAUUUCGGUAUGUAAAGCUCUAUCAGCAGGGAAGAAGGAAGACGGUACCUGACUAAGAAGCCCCGGCUAACUACGUGCCAGCAGCCGCGGUAAUACGUAGGGGGCGAGCGUUAUCCGGAUUUACUGGGUGUAAAGGGAGCGUAGACGGUUAAUCAAGUCUGAAGUGAAAGCCCGCGGCUCAACUGCGGAACGGCUUUGGAAACUGAGUAACUAGAGUGUUGGAGG